This 305-nucleotide ribosomal RNA is filed under the name uncultured bacterium. RNAcentral's name for it is "bacterial SSU rRNA". It matches the Rfam family "Bacterial small subunit ribosomal RNA", at positions 338 to 635 of the family's 1533-position model. The record is from RNAcentral.
CCUACGGGACGCAGCAGUGGGGGAUAUUGGACAAUGGGGGAAACCCUGAUCCAGCGAUGCCGCGUGAGGGAAGGAGGUUUUCGGAUCGUAAACCUCUGUCAGGAGGGAAGAAAGCGCAUGGCGCCAAUCAGCCAUGCGUUGACGGUACCUCCAAAGGAAGCGCCGGCUAACUCCGUGCCAGCAGCCGCGGUAAUACGGAGGGCGCGAGCGUUAAUCGGAAUUACUGGGCGUAAAGCGCGCGUAGGCUGUUGUGUAAGUUGGGGGUGAAAUCCCACGGCUCAACCGUGGAACAGCCCUUGAUACUG